RNAcentral lists this ribosomal RNA (301 nucleotides) under uncultured bacterium. RNAcentral's name for it is "partial 16S ribosomal RNA". It matches the Rfam family "Bacterial small subunit ribosomal RNA", at positions 509 to 807 of the family's 1533-position model. The record is from RNAcentral.
CAGUCGCCGCGGUAAUACGAAGGGGGCUAGCGUUGUUCGGAAUUACUGGGCGUAAAGCGCACGUAGGCGGACAUUUAAGUCAGGGGUGAAAUCCCGGGGCUCAACCCCGGAACUGCCUUUGAUACUGGGUGUCUAGAGUAUGGAAGAGGUGAGUGGAAUUCCGAGUGUAGAGGUGAAAUUCGUAGAUAUUCGGAGGAACACCAGUGGCGAAGGCGGCUCACUGGUCCAUUACUGACGCUGAGGUGCGAAAGCGUGGGGAGCAAACAGGAUUAGAGACCCCAGUAGUCCCUGUCUCUUAUAC